This 114-nucleotide ribosomal RNA is filed under the name Aromatoleum sp. Lineage: Bacteria; Pseudomonadati; Pseudomonadota; Betaproteobacteria; Rhodocyclales; Rhodocyclaceae. The record is from RNAcentral.
CCUGACGAACAUAGCCCGCCGGAACCACCCCUUCCCAUCCCGAACAGGACCGUGAAACGGCGGCACGCCGAUGAUAGUGUGGAUUACCCAUGCGAAAGUAGGUCAUUGUCAGGC